CACCGAAGCCUAUGGUCGUUUGGCUACUAGGCCAUGUGGUGUUUAGGUUGAUCCGCAGAGGCACUGCUCCACUCUGAGUCCAGCAAUGAGUACGGUAGCUUGGACAUGGCCCAUGGAGGGUGAAAGGCCCGUAAGGGUGGAGUUCAGGCAGGCCAGUGUCUCUCUGGAUUGACCUGGGAGUCGGGUUGUUUGAGAAUGCAGCCCAAAGUGGGUGGUAAACUCCAUCCAAGGCUAAAUACUAACACGAGUCCGAUAGCGAACAAGUACCGUGAGGGAAAGUUGAAAAGUACUUUGAAGAGAGAGUAAACAGUGCGUGAAACCGCUCAGAGGUAAACAGGUGGAGUUGAACUGUAUACUCCGUGAAUUCAGCUGGUGUGGAUAUUUUGGGCUUGGUCGAAUGGGUUAGACACUGAGGUAUACAGAGCCGUAUGUCCCAGUCAAUUUGGUUGGGAUGCAUGCUGCGCUUAUCAUGCGUUGUGCGCCUCAGUUGUUUAUCUGCCCCCUCACCAGUGCAAUUUCACGGGGUGAUCACCACGACCGGCGUUGCUGCUUGACUAGUUUGGUCAAACUGCCCUUUCACCGUUUGUAUGGCGUUGUUUGGUCGGGAUGGCAGGUAACCCGUUAGCUUGCUUCAGUUUGCUCUCGGGUGUUUUCAGCUGGCCAAAUUGAAUUUUGUGCAGUACGUCGGAGAUGUCGGCUCGUUGUGCGUACCUGCGUAUCCGAAGGUUCCAGAGGAUCCUGGUUUGAUUAUUGUGUUGCCUAUUCAAAUAGGUCCAGUAGUAUCCAGGUUCUCAUUGGUUAUUGGUUGCGUAGGGGGCACCAUGAAAGGCCAAAAGUCUGUGGUGUUGUGGUAGACUAUCCACCUGACCCGUCUUGAAACACGGACCAAGGAGAGUAACAUGUGCGCAAGUCAUUGGGCCUUACGAAACCCAAAGGCAGAGUGAAAGUAAAGGUCUGACGGUUUGUACAGACUAUGGUGAGAUCCUGUCGUAUCUCACACGUGGCACCGCCAAGCAAUAUAAAGAGCGACAGGCGCAUCACCGGCCCGCCCCAUGGCGUAGACAUGGUCAUUUUGUACUCGUGCAUCGUCGGGGCGGAGCAUGAGCGCACAUGUUGAGACCCGAAAGAUGGUGAACUAUGCUUGCGCAGGUUGAA
This 1155-nucleotide ribosomal RNA is filed under the name Xystretrum sp. 1 SCC-2013. RNAcentral describes it as "partial 28S ribosomal RNA". It matches the Rfam family "Eukaryotic large subunit ribosomal RNA", at positions 112 to 850 of the family's 3401-position model. The record is from RNAcentral. Lineage: Eukaryota; Metazoa; Platyhelminthes; Trematoda; Plagiorchiida; Gorgoderidae.